UGUCAUUUACAUCCUCGUCCCUGGCGGGUCACAUGACAAUCAAAUACACAUCCUAGAUCAAAGUCGAACCUUACACGAUGUUCAAAACGAAGCUAGGAGCUAACGAAACCGUCUCGGGGACAAAAGUAUACAUACUGACUGGCCGCUUGAGAAUGAGUAUCAGAUGUUUUGGUGAUGGCAGAAGCGCGUGAAGUGUGCCAAACAUGUUCAGAGAUAAAAGACAAACGGCAAAGAAUCCUCUCAUGUGAAAGUACAUUCCUGUUCCUUCAUGCAAAUUCGUCAUUUAUCAACCUUCCAAAUACAGAUGAAGACAGGAAUUCAGUGACGGAAAGGCGUAAGGAUUUCGUUUGGAAGUUAAAGAAGUGCGUAUCAGCUUUACGAAACUCUGGUGGGGGUGCUGUAAUUGUUCAUAUUCAUGACCUUGACUUUAAUGAUAAUUACCUUGACCACUUCAACGAACUAGUUGAUGUUAAACUCAAUUCACUUAUUGAAGAUGGAAGUCUAUUUGUUCAAGUGUAUCGGAAGAACUGGUUACACACUCUCGCUGACAAUACCACUGACGAAGAAGAGUUUGAAGAAGAUCCUGAUGAUGAACCUGAAGAAGCUGGAAUUGAUUAUAACGCUCUCUUCAAGAGUGUAGUUGGAGUGACAGUAACACCUUCAUUUACAGUUGUGACAGUAGACUUCAACACAAAGGUCCCUCUUGAUAACAGUGUUGAGGAUCCUACAAACACAGAACUUCAGACGUUUCUCACCAGGAAGAUUCCUUUUCACAACACCAGUACAAGAAUUCGUGGUUUGGAUUGCCUACAAGAGACUCGAGGCAUCCAAGUGAAGCGCUUUAAGGUCACAGACAGAGAUCUGAAAGAGGAGCUUCUAAAUGACCCACACAGAUUUGCAAAUUACAUUUGGACACAAUGUAAAUUAAGAUAUUAUAUCAGCGCAUUCUCCAAGGUUGAAGGGGGUGGGUCAUUCUAUCUUGGAGUUCUUGAGGAGGACAUUACAUAUAGAUCAUACAAGUCUCACCGAUAUCAAAAGGAGGGAUUCGACAUUUCACUUGACAAGCAUGAUUUGCUUAAAGCACAAAUAAAAGAACAAAUAAGGAACGAAACACUUGUGCUUCCUUAUGACAAUAACGCUGUUGUCAGCAACCUAUCUCCAGAUUUAAUUAAGAUAGAAUUUCAUCCAUUGGGGGAGUUGUUUAUAUUAGAAGUUGCAGCACCUGCUGUAAAUGGACUUGUAUUCCAUGACAGAAAAGGACCAGAAGCAUAUGAACUAGAUGACUGCAAUUCGGAGAGGAGACUACCAGUUGUGGAGUGGCGUGAUCGAUUGCUAAGAUAAAGCAAACAUGACUUCUUCAAAACAAAGACAUCUUGAGAUUAAGGAGCCUGUUCCAAAAGAGCCAAUUCAUGAAGUGGAGAUCACGUCCUUCGCUCGUCACCCUCCCCAUGUAAGGCAGAUAAGGCAAUCUAUUGAUGACAUAGAGCACCACGUACUGAAUGCAGGUGGUAUGUGUGUAUACCCAACGCAUGGCGAUCCGAAUGACGAUACUGGGAUCUGUAGAUUAGUUCUAGAGAGAGUAAAAAGCGGUUUAUUCAGGUCUGGUGUGGCUUACACAGCAAAACGAAUGAACGUGUCUGCAAAUAUAGAUGCAGAACCAAGGCCUACUGAAGCACUCUAUGACGCGAUACUCUUUGUCCCAGAUGAACCACCAACUGUAUUUACAGUUAUCUGUGACAAAAUAACCAGAAGGAAACACUCUGAAGCGCUGCAGUACAACCAAUCUAUCGCUAAAGGCAUAGUAGCAGCGGUUCGGAAGUACACAGAUGAACAGUUCAGUGUCGUCUUUGGUCUGUUGCGAGAAGCCGAACUAUCAGAUGAUGUCAGGUUCAAAAAGGCCAUCGAUAGAAUACAUGCAAAAACGUCUCAAUUAGCUGUUCCCCUGGCACUUAGCAUGUUUGAAAAGAAAUUCAGAAAGGUCCUUCGAGCAUUUCUGCUAUCGCUUGCUGUGACUGACUGUGUUCGCAGGACGGACGCAGAGAAUUCGUUAUGGGUUCUUACCACGGAGCAGUUCCGUGUGCUUACUGAAAAUAUUGAUCAUAAACACGUGACAGUGAAUACAAGGCCAUCCUGUGGAGGAACUGUUUUGUUACUUGAAGUCGCUAAAAGAUUACAAAGGUCUGGUCCCACAAUGAUUGUGACAAAGUCGGAUGUCUUAGCAGAACAAGCCAGGACACAAUCAGUUUGUGAAUAUGUUUUCAAUGCUGAUCAAUUCCGAACAGAAGCUACCUGUCGAAAGCCAGACAUAGUCAAUGUGGUGGCAGACUGUGAAGUGACUAACUGUCUUGAAGACCAGAGUCGAAAAGGAAUGACCUGGCACUUCAUCCAAAAACCUCUGCCAGGUAGGACAAUAUAUGUGUGUAGUGUUAUGGGUAGCAAUAAAUAGUUACCCUCUUUGUCCACUUUAUGUUAUUUGAAAAUAUAGUAUCUAAUCAGGAUGUGGUAUCAUUACGUUAUUUUCAGACUAGCUUAUGAACAGACUGCCAACAUAGAGCUGGAAUAUUUUGUGCCGUUAAACAGAAAACACAUA
Molecule: unclassified non-coding RNA, 2590 nt
Filed under: Haliotis rufescens (red abalone)
Lineage: Eukaryota; Metazoa; Mollusca; Gastropoda; Lepetellida; Haliotidae
Description: uncharacterized LOC125379159, transcript variant X3
Source: RNAcentral